This 30066-nucleotide long non-coding RNA is filed under the name Triticum aestivum (bread wheat). Its description in RNAcentral is "long non-coding RNA (TAES_LNC008235)". The stretch from base 1608 to 1742 matches the Rfam family "MIR1120/MIR1122 microRNA precursor family". Lineage: Eukaryota; Viridiplantae; Streptophyta; Magnoliopsida; Poales; Poaceae. The record is from RNAcentral.
UUAGCACCACCUUUAAUCUAUCAGUGACCCACUCAAUUAGGUACUAGCUUUUUUUUUUACUUAUUAUUAUAUUAGAUACAAAACUAAACAGCUCCAUCAACCAACUGCUCAUCAUAAUAAUCAUUUUCUUAUCACUAGCUAAGCAACUGUACAGGCAACAACGUGGCCGCCGGUGGUCCUUCCGAUCAGGCGAUCACUCAGUCGGCGGCCUGCAUCAUGGACACAAGCGGCGCCGGCGCAGUCGUCCGGGAGCGGAACGAGGCCUUGGACUCUCCCCACCGCUCGAACAUCUGCCGCUCCGCCGCGUUCACCUCGCACUCCGGCAGCGCCGCCGGGUACCGGUCCGUGUCGUAGCACACCGUGUACACCAUCUGCCUCCGCCUGAACCGCCGCAUGUCCGCGCGCUUCCGUGCCGUCAUGACCGCGUACUCCGCCGUCAUCAGCUCCCACUCCGCCGUGGCGCACCGCUGCGUGGAAGCGCCGAGGUGGAGCUGGCGGAUGUCUGCGCCGGUGGCGUCGGCGGGGCAGCCGCGGAGCACGAGCCCCGAGAAGUCGGCGGUGAAGGGCCCGUGCCUGUAGUCCACCGUGUGCUUGCCGUUCUCGGUGGCCCAGGUGGAGCCAUCCCAGAUGGUCACGUACACCGCCAUGGGCUUGGACGGGUAGUCAGCGCCCAUGUCACUGUCGUCGCCGUCGGGACCCAUGCCGCCGUCCGUAAAACGACGGCGACUACGGCGGUGCUGCGCCUCGCGGACGGGGGUGCCGUCGACGUAGAAAACGACGGAACUGGAGGACCAGAGGAUGGAGAACCUGUGCUUCGCGGCGGUGGGGUCGAAGGGAAGCACGUACCGCUCCUCCCGGCCGCGCGCCGUGCUGCCGUUGCCGUACACGUUGGUCUGCAUCCGCCACCGGUGGCCCGCGCGGUUGCCGAGGAACUCGAAGUCCAGCUCGUCGUGGGUGGCCUCGAAGACGUCGCCGUUGGAGAGAUAGAAGGCAACGACGACGCCGGCCGUGUGGCCGGCGGGGAGCUUGACGUCCGCGCUGAAGAGCCCGUGGUGGUAGUAGCGCUUGGAGAUGAAGCCGGAGCCGGUGCUGCGGUCCAGGGUGAUGCUCACGGCGUCGCCGCCGGAGGAGCGAACCAUGUUUGACUCGCCGAAGAGCGGCGCGAAGGCCUCGUCGAAGGCCACCGUCGGCACCUCGUCGAAACCCGCGGCCGCGCAGAACACGGCGGCAUGCAUGCAGGAGGCGAAAAACAAUAGCAGCAUCACCGCUGCUGCCGCCAUGAUCAGUCGAAGGAUGGAAGUUUCUUGGCGCUGAUCAAUCGGCCGAUGCACCUCCUUGAGUAACAAUAUUGGAGGAGACGAGUUAAGUGGAAAGGGGUUUGGAUUUGUGUUUAUAUACGAUGUGAUGUCGCAAAAAUUGGUUGGUUUGGGGAGUAGAUAGGAACAUGACGGUGGAAAUGAUAGGGAGGUUAGAGAUGGUCGUAGCACCACGUAAUAAGCUAGGUGGAGGUUGGAGAUGGCACCGGCGGCGCCGCGCCGGUCCUUACCUGGUUGGCUGGGCUCACGGGACAUCUAUAUCUAUUUAUCUAAUGCAAGAUUCCAUUUUAUUUUAUACUCCCUCCGUCCCAAAAUUCUUGUCUUAGAUUUGUCCAAAUACGGAUGCAUCAAGUCACGUUUUAGUAUUAGGCACAUCCGUAUCUAGACAAAUUUAAGACAAGAAUUUUGGGACGGAGGGAGUAUUUCAUUUUUGCUUUUUGAGUAGGAUAUAAUCUUCUGGAUAGAAAGUUGUGGAAGUGUAUUAUUGUCUUGUUGAAAAGCCACCCAUGCAUAUCUGUAUGUACAUUAAUAUAUAUAUUUGCUUGAUUGAUUCCUUGAUUGUUUUAUCCAAGGAGUGAUUAUUUUCAACUUUUCAUGGUUGGUUCUUGGUUGUGUAGGGUUGUGCGUGUGUGUGUCUAAAGAGUAAAGACCAAUACAUCCACCAAGAUACAACUUUCUUGGAGAAGGAAUGGAUUUUGUUUAGUACUUUUCUUUUUUUACUUUUGCAAGAUAAAUCUCUUGCUAUGAGUGCUCUAUCACAUAAAUGAGGCUGCAGAAAUUUAAUUAGCUAAUGCUUUUUAUUUGCAUAUGCAUAUAUAUGUUGUAUUUGAUUUCUGUGUACAUAAAUAUUUGCAUAUAAUCAAACUCCUUGCACAGAACCUAGAAAAGGAAAGCUUGCUAGGGACAUGUGGAUAUGAUCGAAAAGAGCUGAUUGGGAUAUGUUAACUACCUACAUGCAUAGCGGUUGAGUAAAGUUGAGGUCUCAUUCACGGACGGUGCGUACUUAUAUAAGCGACGACGACUCAUCGAGCCGCCAGCGGUUGUCCACUGUGCUAGUACAAAAAAUAAAUACUUACGCAUGUCCUUCUCCAAAUUCUAACAUCAUGUAUGCAUGCUUUCCACAGUAAUUAAGCAACAAUUUCAGCCUGCGUGCAUAAUUACUGUUUCAUCUAGCCCAGGUAAUCCCCGCAUGCAUGGUUAAUUACUAGUUACUCCCUAGAGAUUUCGCUAGGUGGACUACAUACGGAGUAAAAUGAAUGAAUCCACACUUAAAAUGCAUCUAUAUACAUCCGUAUCUAGUUCAUAGUGAAAUCUCUACAAAGACUUACAUUUAGGAACGGAGGGAGUACUACUCUCUCCAAUCCAUAACCAUGUCGCAGUUUUGUUCUCCCUCCGUCCCAAAAUUUUUGUCUUAGAUUUGCCUAGAUACAAGAAUUUUGGGACGGAGAGAGUACUAAGGUUGCGACUUAUUUUGGAUCGAAGGUUGUAUUUUUUUUGAUGGAAAAUUAGUAGUUACUAUUGGAGUACUAGCAAGCUAGUGAUUCCUGAAAUUUGAGUAUGAACAGCUUUUUGUAUAAGUUUAGGGAACAAAUCAUGUAUCAUAUGUGAUCAUUGAACUGCAUGUGGGGGUGCAACAACUCCUGUUGUGGUAAGAUGCUAAUAGUCCGUGGGUACUUAACAACAACACCUACUAACUUAUUUAAGUGCAUUUUGACGGUUAUAAUUAGUUCUCGUCAAUCUUUCAUCAUGUGAACAAUAGAACAAAUAUAACUAUACACACAUAUGUUCCCAUGUGAACAAACCAAAAAUGGAGACGACAGAACAUGGGCGAUUGGCUGUUCUUUCUUGUUCCAUUAGGUCUGAUGAAACAAAGGAUAGUUUAUUAGUAGUAGCAUGCUGGUAAGGUAGCUAUCUGGCUAGGCAUCUGUGAGUGAAUAAAUAAAUGCAUGGGUAGCUAAGCAAGGACGUGACACAUAUUGGCGCGUAUUAAUUUGUAAUUAAGAGGCGAUAAAAGGACAAUGAGAUGCGAACUAUAUACAACAGAGACGUGAGCGAUCAACUACUGGUACUGCUUAGCUAGCAGCAUAUACACGUACACGUAUACGGCCAUGCAUGUAUGGUAGAGUAUAAUAAUAUCAAUACGGAUGGGACGGUGCAACCACUAUAGGUUGAUUGAUUUGCCAGUUAGGUAUACCUGAAGCAAGCCUUGGAGGCAAUAGGUUGUCAUGGAUUCCCAUGCAUUCAUUGGACACGCCUGGUCAACUACUUGCUAGCUAGUACACCCUCGGUUCAUUAAGAAAAAUCCAGCAGCAUUUACCUGCUAGUAAUAGAGGAGAGACAAGAGAGACACCUAGGGCGUGUUAGAAGAAUAUUGUGUUUAAGAUAGAGAUAGGAGUUAGAGAUAAAAUAUAUUAAAUCAUGUAUGACUUGUCUUCUACUCCAAGUCUUUCUCCCUCACAUGUACUUCUAUAUAUACCCUACACAUGGGUCAGGUCAAUACAACAAACAUUAGUCAUACUACAAUUUUCACAUGGUAUUAGAGCGGUUAGUCUUGAAAGAGUUAUCUGGUGAAAGAGUUCCUACUCCUCCGUAGAGGAGCCGCGGGUUUUAUUAAUCGAGGGCAGGAAUCACCCCUGCCGUGGUUUACAAGUCUUCUACCGAUCGCUAGGAUUCGGUAGGAUGAGAGAUAGGAGGUUACAAGGGAGAGGAAGAGAUAAGUAGUUUAAGAUUACAACAUAAUAUAUCUCUAUGCCUAACACCCUCCCUUAAUCUGAACUACCUAUCCUAGAUUGAGAUUGUUCUUGAAUGCUUCAAAUGGCUUGUACGGUAGAGCUUUGGUGAAACCAUAAGCUACUUGAUCUUUAGAAGGAAUAAAACGUAUCUCCAACUUCUUCUCUGCAACUCUUUCCCGUACAAAGUGAAAGUCUAUUUCGAUGUGCUUGGUUCUGGCAUGAAAAACUGGACUGGCACUCAAAUAAGUAGCACCCAAAUUAUCACACCAUAGGCAUGAGACACGAUGUUGCUUAACACCCAAUUCCUCAAGCAAAGACUCAACCCAAAUAAUCUCUGCAGUAGCAUUUGCCAAUGACUUGUACUCAGCUUCAGUACUCGACCUUGACACUGUUGCUUGUUUCCUGGCACUCCAUGAAAUAAGGUUAGACCCAAAGAAAACAGCAAACCCUCCUGUGGAUUUUCUAUCAUCACUUACAGCCUGCCCAGUCUGCAUCAGAGAUAGCACUAACCAGUGUAGAAUUGGAACGUUUGAAAUAUAGCCCCAAACCUACAGUGUGCUUGACAUACCGUAUGAUUCUUUUGACAGCUGUCCAAUGAGCAGAAGUAGGAGCAUGCAGGUAUUGACAUACUUUGUUAACAGAGAAUGAGAUAUCUGGCCGUGUCAAGGUCAAAUAUUGCAAGGCUCCAACAUCACUUCUAUAUCUGGUGCUUUCCUUCUCAUUAAGUGGUUCCCCUUCAUAAGAUGACAGUUGUUCUGAUGAGGAUAAUGGUGUGGGGGAAGGCUUGCGAUCCUUCAUUCCCAUCCGAGCCAAGAGUUCAGUGGCAUAUUUUUCCUGUUUCAACACUAUACCAUCCUGAACCUUCUUAACUUCAAUGCCUAGAAAGAAACUCAAAUCACCAAGAUCCUUUAAGGCAAAUUCCGAGCUUAGGUCAUGCAAAAGAGCAUCAGUAGCAUUCUGAGAAAAGCUUGCAACUAUAAUAUCAUCAACAUAUAUGAGCACAAAAAUGACAAUAUUUGCCUUAUUGUAUAUGAAGAGAGAUGUGUCAGCUUUUGAUGCAACAAAACCAAGGCGUUUCAACUGCAUACUUAACCUGGAGUACCACGCUCUAGGUGCUUGUUUCAAGCCAUAGAGGGCCUUGUCAAGCUUACAUACAUAAUGUGGUUUUUGCUUGUUUUCAUAACCUGGUGGUUGCCUCAUGUAGACCUCCUCUUCCAAAACACCAUGCAAAAACGCGUUCUUUACGUCUAGCUGUCUCAAGCUCCAUCCCCUGGACACAGCAAUUGCUAGCACAAGUCUUAUGGUUGCAGAUUUUAUCACAGGACUAAAUGUAUCCUCAUAAUCAAUACCAUAACGCUGCUUAAAACCUUUAGCAACAAGACGUGCUUUAUACCUGUCAAUGGAGCCAUCUGCCCUUUUUUUAAUCCUAUACACCCACUUACAAUCAAUGAUGUUUUUGCCUUUUUGAUUUGGUACCAAACGCCAUGUCUUAUUUUUCAUCAGGGUUGUAUACUCCUCAUCCAUGGCCUUUUUCCACUUUGGAUCUCCAAGUGCAUCAUCUAGUUUUGUUGGCUCUCCUGAAAUACACAGCAUACCAUACGAUAUUGUGCCAUCAGUUCUUAUUUUUGGGUUCUUGAUACCUUUUUGUAGCUGAGUUGUGACUCUGGAUGUAGCUGGUUGCUGCUGUACACGCGGGCGCACGGAUCCACUUGUCGCAGAAGAUCCUGGAGAAGAGACGGGCGUUGCCACAUCAGAUCCUGUGGUCGCAGGUGUGGCAUGUUCUUCCACGCCCGCACCAUCUGUGGCCGUAGAUGAUCCCGUGCCAGUCGGGCCAGGUGGGCCUGUUUGUUUCAUGCGCCCGCUGCGCCUCGCAGCGAUUGGCUGCAUGCGCGGGCCGCUCGAGGGAGAUCCUCCGCGUGAGGACGUGGCGGCUGCGGGGCGGCUCGCCCGCACCUGGCUCUCCUGACCGACCGGAUCGCGAUCCGAGGAGGAUAUCCGCGCGUGAUCCGAGGGAGAUUGACGCGCAGGGGUGGCAGGCGCCGCCAAAUCAUCCUCGAACGCUGCGCCAUCUUCGUCUUCUUCUUCUACAUGAAAUAUAGCCUCAUUUUGGAUGGGAUUUUGAUCAUUCUGACCGUUUUCUUCUCUGUUUUCUUCAGGUACCUGCACACACGGAAGACAAGAACUGGUUCCAGCAGGGAUAUUAUCAUCAUGUUGGUUUGUGCAAUUGUUUCCCCCAUGAUCAAAAGCUCGAAGUGUAGGUGGAAGAAGAAGAAUCUCUUGACGAAGAAGAGCGCCGGCAUUGGGAUGGAGAGAUUCAAAAGGAAAAACUGAUUCAUCGAACACAACGUCUCGAGAUAUAUAAACUCGGCAUGUGGAACAUCUAAGCACUUGACUCCUUUGUGCAUAGGGCUAUAGCCCAAAAACACACAUUUUUUUGAACGAAACGCAAGUUUGCGUGUGUUGUAAGGUCUUAAGUUUGGCCAACAUGCACAAACAAAGACUCGUAGAGAUUUGAAAUCUGGUUUUGUUCCAAACAAACGUGUGAUUGGACUUUCAAAUUUGAUGACUUUACUGGGUCGAAUAUUUAUGAGAUAGGUGGCAGUGAGAAAAGCUUCAUCCCAGAAUUUUAGAGGUAUGGAAGCAUUGGCUAGAAGUGCUAAUCCUACCUCAACAACAUGACGAUGUUUACGUUCAGCCGACCCGUUUUGCUGAUGAGCAUGGGGACAAGAGACAUGGUGAGAGAUUCCAAUUUUUUGAAAGAAGGAAUUUAGUUUCUCAUACUCACCACCCCAGUCGGUUUGCAUAGCAAGAAUUUUUGAGUCUAGUUGGCGUUCAACAAGAUUUUCGAAGUUGGUAAAGACUUGAAAAACAUCAGAUCUUUUCUUUAGCAGAUAGAUCCAGGUGAACUUGCUAUAAUCAUCAAUGAAACUCACAUAAUAAGAGAAUCUACCAACUGAUGUGGGGGCUGGUCCCCAUACAUCUGAAAAAAUAAGCUGCAAUGGAGCAGUGGAAACACUUGUUGAUAUAGGAUAAGGUAACUGAUGACUCUUGGCUUGCAUGCAAGCAUCACAAAUUGACUCAACGCUAGACUCAUAAGGUAGUUUAUUCUUGCUAAGAACAUGCUAAACUAUAACUGAGGAGGGAUGACCCAGACGACUAUGCCACCUUGCCGAGGAAGGUUUGGUGACACUCCAUGCUUGUUUAUUCGACCAUGAUGAAGAUGAAGAUGAUAUGAGUGCAUAUAGGCCCCUCUCGCAUUUUCCUCUAAGGAUGACUCUCCUCGUUGCCAAGUCCUUGAUCACAAAAGAGUGAGGAUAAAAUAUUAUGAGAACAUUGUUGUCAAGAGCAAAACGAUGAACGGAAACAAGAUUUUUGGAAGCAUGUGGAACAUGUAAGACAUUGUUAAGAUGUAGAUCUUUUACGGGGGUUUUGACAAUUGAAUUUCCAACAUGAGUAAUGUCCAUACCAGUUCCACUUGCCGUGUGUAUCUGAUCACCACCGUGGUACCUUUUCCGCAUCGUCAGCUUGUCGAGCUCCCCUGUGAUAUGCUCAGUGGCACCGGAGUCGGCAUACCAGUUGGUGUCGAUGCCAUAGUUGUUGGUGACGAGGUUGGCUGCCUUCUUUUCUUCAUGAUCAUCAUCGUACCGGUGCCAGCAGGCUCUUGCCCCGCCAGCAUGGAACUUGUAGCAGAUUUGGCACUCGGGGUAGUCGCCCUCUUGUUGCUGCUGUUUGUGGUUGAGGGCGAAAAUGUUGGUGAUGACCACCGCGGCCACCCCCGCGACUAGGAGAGGGAGAGGAGCGGUUUCCUCGACCGCGCCCCCCUCUGUUGCUUCGGCCACGGCCUCCCCUGCCGCAGGACUGCCCGCGCCCUCAUUGGCAGAGGAGCGGAAUCCUGCUGGACCGUCGCCCAGCAUCUCCAUCCGCUGAUCAAACGCAGCGAUCUGCGCAAAAAGGUCGUAGACAGUGAUGGAGUUUUUGAUGGCUCCGACCGCUGCCAUGAUGGGAUCGUAGUCCCGAUCAAGGCCAGCAAGGAUGUAGUCCACCAUCUCCGGGUCGGUUACCGGACGCCCAGCCGCAGCUAGCUCGUCCCCGAGGCUUUUCAUCUUGGCGAUGAACGCGUUGCUUGACAUGUUUCCUUUCUUGGUGUUGGAGAUGGCCAUCCACAGAUUGGUUAUGCGGGAUUGUGACUGCGCGGUGAAUAAAGUGGUAAGAGCAGUCCAGAGAUCGAAGGUACUAUCCUUACCGAUCACUUGCGCCAGGAUUUCUUGAGUGAGAGAAUUCAGCAGGUAGCUCAGAACCUGCUGAUCCUUCGACAACCACGGGCCGUACAGAGGAUUGAGCUCUAUGGCCGUGGUUUUGUCCGCCUUGGUGACUUCGAUGGUCUUUGGUGGUGCGGCGUCGCUGUCAUCGAGGAGGCCGGUCACUUGCGCGCCUCGCAGUGCUGGCAUGACCUGCGCCUUCCAUAGGAGGUAGUUCCCCCUUGCGAGCUUCUCUGUUGGUGGAGCACCUAGGUUGAGGCCGACGGCGCUCGAGCUCGUAGCCAUGGCGAUGGAAGGGUGUUUAGGGUUUCUGGUUUGCUAGACGAUAGGAAGAGACGUGGCUCUGUAUACCAUGAAAGAGUUAUCUGGUGGAAGCGUUCCUACUCCUCCGUAGAGGAGCCGCGGGUUUUAUUGAUCGAGGGCAGGAAUCCCCCCCGCCGUGGUUUACAAGUCUUCUACCGAUCGCUAGGAUUCGGUAGGAUAAGAGAUAGGAGGUUACAAGGGAGAGGAAGAGAUAAGUAGUUUAAGAUUACAACAGAAUAUAUCUCUAUGUCUAACAAGUCUCACGACGCCGAUUCUAGGACUUCUCACCACUUCUGCAGCGCGCCGCCCCGGGAAGAUUAAUCUCUUCUCCUCGGGGGCGCGGCACCCGAUCAAUCAAAGGUUAGAUCGUUCUCGUAGUUCAGAUCCAAUUUUCAAGUUCUUCAUCAGUAGAUCAAUUUCAGGUUUAAAAAUUCUCAUUAGAUUAGUUUUUCCAUUAGCCACCAAAAGAAUCCGGCGAUCCCUAGAUGCAAUACGUCCGGCGUAGGCAUCCAUUCGGAUCGCAUACACGGAUCUCCCGGCGGCUGCAUCUGCAUGGACUUCUUCGUCGAUCUGAUCAAGCCGUCGCCGAUAAACCAGGAAGCGGCACAAUCAUGCGGCGCGGCAGGCUCGGGCUCUACAUCGCUAAACUGCCCAGCCGCCACACAUACAAUCCGAUCAGCGCGUUGCUCAUGCAGGCGAUCUCCACACCGACGGCGCCCGAUGUACUUCACGGGCUGUCUCCGGGCAUCAGGAGGGACCAUGCACCGGCACCGGGAGGGCGGCGGCUUCCCGAUCCACCCAAAACAAGAGGAACAUGCCGUCCAUGCGUGUUGGCAGUACGUGAGCAAAGACGAGCCAAGUGCAAAUACAAUUAACGAUCGUCCAUGUUCAAGUCUCCAUGCAGGUUCCCCAGCCUCGUCACGGACUACACACGGACUCCACGAUUUGAUGGUGCACUUCCAUUCAGUUUUCCGUCUACGCGACUACGGCACACAGCAGCCGUCUUGUACGCGUACGUGACUACGACGCACCGGCCGAACUCGUCUACAUCGACAUUGACCCGCUACUUCUGCAUCGAGCCGGCUGACCUGCACCGACUGCACUGUCGCCCAUGCAAUCUUCGAGCCACGUCCACAAACCGCUGCACCAAGCUUCUGCACCAAACCUCAUGCCGCGACACCAAGCUAGCUGUACAUCUACGGGUACAUCGCGCCCAACAAAAAAAAUUCUUCGUCGAGUGCAUCUACAAGAAGCGAUCACGACUUGCAUCAUCCACAUGCCAGGCCGGUGUGGAGAGAGAUGCAAUCCUUCUUGACUUCUCCGGCAAGACACGGCAUCGACACUUCGUCGCCGCGGAGGGACGCCUUCAAGCGACGCAUCAUCGUCGACACGCCGCUGCUACGCCAACGCCGACACUUCAUCGCCAAGGUCUUCAUCAACGUGGUCUUCAUCAACACACCGUCACUGCUUUGUCCACAAGAUGGACACCUAGCGUCACAGACUUUUCUGCAAGACGCGACCACGACGACGGCAAUGACCGCGUCACGACGACGGCAUCGACCGCGUCAUCCACGACAGCACGACUGCAUCGACAUGGCGUCACUACAGUGACGACCCUACACGGCCGCACGGUUCUGGCAAAACUGAUGUGUGCUCGAUGAGUUUCCUCUGGUCCUGGUCCUGGCAAAACUGGUGGACUCAUCACUGACGGCACCCUCUGACAUCCGCAAGGUGCAUCGUCCACGACUGCAGCUCCGUCCUCUACAACAUAGAGCAUUUUUUUUGCGCCUCCGGCUUUGUGCGGCUUUAUCAUUCAUGACGACUACUUCAUUGACCACGACUGCCUCGACCACGGCUACAUCAUGAUCGGCUACACCGACAUCGACACACACGACCACGUCUACAGCAACACAUCAGCGACAACUCCAGUCAAUAGCGUCCGCGUCGUCACCAGCAUCCACGCCACUCCCGCUGUGACUGCGGGAGGGAAUAGAGGAGAGACAAGGGAGGCACCAGAAAGGGACGCAGUCACCGCCCUAGGUGUCGACCCACCAGAGACGUAGUGAUGAUGGCGCAGCGGAGAAGACGACGGAAACAAGACUUCCAACUCAGUCGUAAUCGCCCGUUUCACUCCCGCUACGACUGAGGGGGAAUGUUAGAAGAAUAUUGUGUUUAAGAUAGAGAUAGGAGUUAGAGAUAAAAUAUAUUAAAUCAUGUAUGACUUGUCUUCUACUCCAAGUCUCUCUCCCUCACAUGUACUUCUAUAUAUACCCUACACAUGGGUCAGGUCAAUACAACAAACAUUAGUCAUACUACAAUUUCCACACUAGUCACUUGAAAUAAAAAAGAAAAGUUAAGUAUUGGGCAGUCCUCAUGCAUGAUUACGGACCUGUUCUAUGGUACACGUAAAAUAAAGUGUAGCUCAUAGUAUAUAUAUUUUUCUAACUAUGUGUAAUCACAAGUAGUGAGAAUUUAACUUGGGGAUUUUCAUAACAUAUUUUGCAUAAACAUCUCAUAUUAUUGACUCGGGGUGAAAAAUGUAGGAAAAUAAUCAUGAAUGCAGGUUAUGAACUACCAAUUUACAAAAAGAUAAAUAAUACCAUUCGUCGUGUCUUUGUGCGCAUUUGGACGGAGAUCAAGACUUAGAUGGGUUUGACCGGUGUGGACAUCACCGACCGGAGUAGCUUCGACAACGUCAACGAUUGGUGGCAUCACUUGGUAGGCGUCAACGGCAAUGUGAGAAAGGGUCUCGCAUCUCUCAUCAUGUUGGUUUCAUGGAAGAUUUGGAAUGAGCGGAAUGCAAAAGUGUUUAGAAAGGUGUCUUCCAUGCCUAGAAUCAAGGCGGAGGUCAGACUUUGGGGGUUGGCAGGAGCCAAACGUUUGAGUUCUCUUAUCCCGCGAGAGUAGACUUCAUGUAAUUCAAACUCUUCUUAAUUAAUGAGAUGAGGUAAAUCUUUUGCCUUCGUUUCGAAAAAAAAAGACAGAGCACAUGAAGAUCUGUCCAUCCAGGGUACACAAGUUGAAGAUCUGGGAUGCGAAACGCUAUUUUCUUUUCCAAUCUAAGCCCCCAAUUUAUUUUUCUAUGCAAUUUUUUUAUAGUGUGGGUGGGCAGCGCCCCCCUCUACUGACCAACGGCAACGGCGACCAACAUGUUAGCUAAGCAGGUGGAUCCUCACUCUACCUCAGUAUAACCUCACGUGGAACCACCUACUCUCUGCUCACCGUCAUCACCAGAAGCCUUCUUUCUUCAAGGGCCAGGACAAGACUAACAAUAUUUAUUCUCUUUCUCUUUCGAAAUUUUGUUGAUAUGUUGGCUUUUCAAGGCCUCCUGCCAUUUGAAAAAGGUUCUGAAACAAAACGGACCAUUUCCUGCAUUUCUAACAACUCAUCACUAAACCUGGAGCCUAUCCUAAUUAAUCUCAACUAAAUCAACAAGCUAGCUAGCUAUGGCUAGUCUAGGCUACUCUGAAUCUUCGAUCUACUAGGCCGGGCUCUGUUGCUACUACUGCCCCAGACGCUUGUUCAUCGUGGGGGUCUUCAUCUCCCAUGCACGCAGGUUGGUGAGCUUGAUGUCUGACUCGCCAUUGUUGAAGACAAAUAGGUGUGCGUUGUCCCCGACGGCCUUCCUCGGGUAGACCCUCGUCAGGAUGCACGUCUUGCCGCCGGCGCCAAAACUUUCCACGACAGAGUGGUCGAUCUGAAAUGUAUUCCGCGACAUGGCUUACAACCCUCUUGCAAUGGUGUAUUCAGUAAAUAACUAAUUCAAUGUAGUUUUUGUGGUUACGUACCAAUGUCCUGAGGGCGAUCUUCUUGGUCUUGGUUAUGUCGACGUUGACGAAGCCGGCGAAGGUCGGCCUGUAGAUCAGCGACUCGUACGACGACCUGCGUGAUCGAUCAUUCAGGAUUACUGGACCUAGAGUAAUACAUAUACAAAAACGUGAAUUGAGUGAGUUAUAUGCAUGGGAUCUACCUUGUAGGGUCGUUGCACAUAAGCACGACGUAGCUAGUGUCGUUGUUCUUGAAUACCCUGAAGAAAACAGCUGUUCUCUCCUUGAGGUCGUCAGAGGCGAGCAACCAGAGACCAAACGGCCCGACGCCGCCCUUAACAUGUGAGUUGAGCUUCUUGCACAGCCCUUGCGCGUCUGUCUGCCACGCGGUGUCGAACUUCUCUGCCUUCUCAAGGUUCUUGAUCACGAACGCCGCCUCCACGUCCGACUGGCAUAUAUAGCAGUGGCUCAUCAUUCACUAACAAUUCAUAGGCGCCCCCGAGUUUAUAUCAUGUGUAUAUACACUAUUGUACUGACCUGCACGGAUUUGAAGCCGUCGAUCUUGAAGUACUCGCCACCCUUGACGGCCUUGUUGCUGACAUUGACGUGCUUCGCGCGCAAUGACUUGAUCUCCUCUACCGGCCACUGAAUUAGCUGCCUCCCGCUCCGUGACAGGAAGAUCUUCCUCGGUAUCGCCUAAAAAUUCAGAAACAACAAUACAUUUAAAUCUCAGUACGUGAAGAACCAUAUGAAGGUCAGGGGGGCGCUCCCCCCCGGCCUUGGAAACAAUAGCAAAGACAUUCUGUUCGUGUGAUGCAAAUGUGGAUGUGUAGUGACCUGGAUGCCGGCCCAACCCUUGUUGCGGUCGUCGGGGACAGUGUCGGAUUCAUUGGCCCAGCCCCAGAGCACGCGGCGCUUCUUGACCGGGUCAUAGAACGACUUCGAUGCAUAGAAGUCGCCGUAGUCGUAUCGGAGACCGUAGUCAUUGUCUGGGAAGUCGAGGUCCGGGGUGUACCUGUCCUUGGCAUGGUCGUACCAGCCAAUGGUGUAGUACUCGUAGCGCGUUACGUCGAGGCUCACCUUGAGCACAUAUUUUACCUCCGCAGCGACUGUGCUGUCAUGCAGCUCUCUGGUGUCCACACCGCUCCGGUGGUGACGUCUGCCGCCGGCCACCGCCACGGGGUAAAAGUCUGGGCACUCCCACAUCCCCGUGAGCCCAGCGUGCAGCGAGUGGUGUGCCUUGAUCCAUCUCCUAAAGUCACGGCUCCGGUACAACACCGCGAUCCCCCUCAUGUUCUCCUUGCUGCCCACCACCAGCCUCCAGUGUCUGCAAAUCAAUCACUCACAUCAGCGUGUAGCAUAAUCUUUAUGUAAAUAUCAAGCCGACAAAAUAUUUACAAAUGUAUGCACACGUGUGUCAACAUGGCAUACGAUACAAUAAAAAGUGAUGUGGAUGGUAAUGUACGUACCCGUCUGGCCCGUACCAAGCGGUGGUGGGAUCACGGAAGGCGCUGGCGUUGAUGCCGUGGUCGGGGUUGAUGAUGGGGUUAUAGUCGGGCUUGACCCACUUGCGGAGGAAGGGGUCGGAGAGGUUGGCCGGGUACGCGACGUUCUGCACCUGGCGUUCCUUGGGGUCGAUGCCUGUGUACAUGAUGACCGGGACGCCGUUGGGCAGAAUGGUGGCGGAGCCCGACCAGCAACCGUUGAUGUCGAACGGCUUGGACGGGUAGAUCCCGGGCUCCAACGCCACCCAGUCGACGAGGUCCGUCGACACCGAGUGCGCCCAGAUGAUGUUCCCCCACACGGCGCCCUUUGGGUUGUACUGGUAGAAGAGAUGGUACAGCCCCUUGUAGUACAUCGGCCCUGCAGCAUCCAGACGUUGAGAUGUCAUUGGGUCAUACAAUGUGCACAACAGAUAGUCAUGCAAAACUGAUUACUGAUUCGUCAUUUGAGCAAUAGAUAGAUGCCGAGAUGGUCAAUUUGUAUGGGUGCACGUACGUACCAUUUGGAUCUGAUCAAUCAUUGCAUCGUCGUUGUGAAGGGUAGGUUCGAUGUCAUCCAAUUAGCAGAGGUCACACAAAAGAAAUUGUGUCGAGUGAGUAACAUACGUACUAAAGAGACUGAUGGUGAAACGAGGAAAUAUUUAUUCCACACAUACGUACCAUUGAUCCAAUGCUUGGGGGGCUGGAAGUGGUACCCGGUGCGCAGCUCCUUGUCCACCUCCGUGGCCUCCAACGACUGGAGCUCCGGGUAGACGACAUGCGACGCGUGGACCGCCAACGCCGUGCAGCACAACAGAGACACGAUCAAUGGCGCCGCCGCCGACGCCAUCCUCGUUACUAGAGCAGAGCGCGUGCAAUUUUGCAAACUAAAUUAGGAGGACGUUUAAUCCGCAACCUAAUUUCAGAUGCACGUGGGGGGUGCUAAUUUCAGAUUAAGAAGUCAACAUCUCAAGCAGAUAUGGCAUGCACGAACCUGGAUUGGAUCGGCCGAUCUUGCGUCGCGGAGGAGGACGGGUGGAUGGAUUGAUAUGCGGAGGUUGAAGAGGAACGACGAAGGAUCGGACAUGGCUUGCUGGUGGAUUUAUAGGCCGGGUGGGGGGAGAGUGAUAGAGUCGACGCUCGCGCGAUGCGGCGGCGGGGUAGAGUCUUUGUGGAUGAGGGCGAGGAGCGAGCACGUCGGGAGCAGUUGAGGACGAGGUCGCUCGCUCGACUGGGGCUGAUCCGUUCGUGCAUGGCGGCGCUCGUUUCUUCGCGCGCUUCGUUCGGUUCUGGGCCGCCUCCGCUGGCUAGGCCCAAAUUCGUAGUAAAAUCUCAAACACCAUACAUGGGCCCAAGUUCGUAGUAAACGGGUUCUUCGCGACAGCAAACACUCUGCGCUUCAGCUGGGAAGCUUCUAUGCACCAGUUUUAGAAGCGUCCAUGCAUUUUCUUUUUCUUUUUUUUUUCUCUUUAUUUUCUGUAUCAAUUUUGUUGUUUUUUUGGCGUUUUCCUUUUUAUCUUUUGCUAUUUAUUUUUAUUUAUAUUUUCCAAUAUAUGUCACUUUUUCUGAAUAAGUUAAACAGUUUUUAACAAACAUUGAACAUUUUUACCGUACGGGUUGAAAGUUUAUCCUAAUACAUGUUCAACAUUUGCAAAUUCGAAAUUUUUUAUAUGGAGAUUGAAUAAUUUUCAGACAGAACUUGAAUUAUUUUUAAAUACUAGUUGGAAAGUUCCAAAUACAUGUAGAAGUGCAUGUUGUAGCCAAUGCAACCAAAAGACCGAUCUGAUGGAAGAGACUAGGCGAUACAUUUAUACGUCAACAAUACAUAUUGAACUUUUUUUCAAAUGUGCAAUGAACAUUUCAAAAAUACAGGUGAACAUUUUAACAUAUUUAACAUUUUUGCAUGAAUUACGAAACAUUUUAACUCGGAACCUGUGGGGUGUGGGAAAUAUCCUCGUCAGAUGACCAAUUGUGUAAACUUACUUAAAAUGUCACAAACAUAUUUAUGAUGUAUGAAUAUUUUAUGUCGACGGACAAUUUUUUCAAUCAUAUGAACAGUUUUUACAAAUUCUGUGAAGAAAAUAUUCAUUGUCAAGAUUAUUAUUAAAAAAAGCAUGUCAAUAUUUUUGAACGUGCAAACAUUUUUUAAAUGCCAUGAACACUAUUUCUAUAUGAUAGAAGUCUUUUAUACUGCAUUAUCAUUUUUUUAAAGGAGCAAUGAAGACUUCGAAAAUUUGAAGUAAAUUAAUUUUGGAAUAUAUGCAUUUGAAUAUUUUGAAAUAUAAAACAAAGUAAAAAUAAAUAAAAAGGGAAAACACGAACAAAUGAAUGAAAGAAAAAAAUGAAUGAAACGACUGCUACAGGGCUGGCCCACUAUGAGGUUGCCUGAGGCGAGCUGUGUGUUCGUCUCCCUUGCUGGUGAGAUACAGACGCUCCCGACAUGAGCUGACUCACAUCACACCCCUACAGACAGGCAUAAUAAUAUCAUGUCCUAUUCUCGAUUAACUCAUUUUUGCGUGUGCCUAUUUCACUUAUCCUUUUGCUCUAUCUUCUGAAAUUUAAAUUUUUGCCACCGGGUAGGGAGAAGAACGUUAUAUGCCUAUACUGUGUUGAUUCAAAUGCCACGACGCGGUCUCCUUGGGCCCUGGACAUUGAUGCAUCGGACAAAGCACCACCCCGCCGCCUUCCUUCUUUCCCAUUGCUUUCCUCCGCGGAUCCUCUUUGGGGUAUAGCAACCUUGCGUGUACCCCUCAGGGAGCUCCCAUGUGGCAGCUUAAGCGCCACAUGGCGGAACAGCCGCUCACGCGCCCAUGCCCAUGGGACAGCUCAUAUCGGAGGCGAGCCUUCGACCGUGACUGGUUUCCUCCUAGUUGCUCCAUCGCAUUUUGACCGGUCGCAGCUGAAUAGUUGACUGGUCAACCGUUGACUUUUGGAAAAAAUACGGAAAAUGAGAAAUAAAAAAAUUCAUGACAAAAAAAUGUUCAUGGAUUUAGAUUUUUUACCAAAAAUUAAAGAAAACCCAUGAAUUUGAAAAAAAUAUCUAUGAUUUCAAAUAAGAAAUAAUCAAAUUUAAAAAAGUCAAUGCAAAUUGAAAAUAAAUUCAUCAAGUUUGAAUUUUCAAAUAUUGAAUAUUAUUUCAAAUAGUGAAUAUUAUUGAAAUCCGCUAACACUCUAUAAGUUUUGUGAAUUUGUUUUUUAAUUGUAAACAAUUUUUCAGGCAUCCGAACAUUGUUUUGAAAUUAUGAACAGUUUUAUUGAAAUUAUAAACAUUUCUGUGAAACUCAUGAACAAUUUUUUGAAUUGGUAAAUUUAUUGAAAAUCUGUAAAAUAGUUUUUAAAUGGACAAACAUUUUUUGUGGUUUUGACGAACAUUUUUUAAACCAACGAACAUUUUUUGGAAGCGAUGAACUAUUUUUUAAAUUUGCAAACAUUUUAUAACUUUAACAACAUUGUUUUAGAAUUCAUGAACCUUUUUUUGUUCACUGAAAUUACUUGAAAUUCACGAGAAUUUUUAAUACGCAAAAUUCUUAAAGAAAUUAUGAACAUUUUCUAUUUCCCGAACGGUUUUUGCAAAUCAUGAAUUUCUUUUGAAUAUACGCAUAAUAUUUCAAGAUCACUAACGUUGUUUAAUCUGCGAACAUUUUUCUGAACCAUGAACAGUUUUUGAAUAGACAAAUAUUUUAUAAUUUCUAGAAAAUUUUAUUCAAAAUUCACAGUAUUUGUAAUUUGGAACUUUGUUGAAAUCCUGAAUUAUUUUAAAGAGGAAAACACGAAAACUUGAAAGAAAAUGGUAGAAAAGGAAAUGAAAGAAACAGGGGGCGUUCCGCAUCUUCGCGGCUUGCACUGAGUGGUAUAGGAAAUCCCGUUUUCCUGCUCCUCGCAUGGCCGUUGAAAGUGCAACUAUCCCUAGAUGGUUUUGGUAAUUCAUAACAAUAUAUAGCUCAUUGAGCUAAUACUAUUUCAAGACUAUUAUUUCAGGAAGCUCAAUGAAUGGCAUGGCAUGGAUGAUGAAAGUGGAUCCCUCAAAUUAUCAAGGACAAAGGAUUGGCUCAAGCUCAAAAGCUCAAGACUCUACAUUUUAUAUUUCAGUGAUCCAAGAUCACAUUGAGUCUAUAGGAAAAGCCAAUACUAUCAAGGAGGGAUGAGGUGUUGCUUAAUGAGUCUCUUGCUUCAUGUGCUUAGUGAUAUGCUCCAAAACCCUCAACUACUUUCUCACAUCCACAUAUGACCUAAACCUAAAGCCAAAAUCGGUCACAUCGAUUCUUUCUAUCCGGCGCCACCGAGUUCAGAUGUCAUAGCCACUACCACAAACCCUAGGCAAAUCGGUCUCACCGAUAGGGAUCUCGGUCUCACCGAGAUGAGAUUGUAAUCUCUCUAUUUCCCUUCGUAACGUUUCGGUCUAACCGAAGUGAGGGAUCGGUCCCACCGAGAUUGUAAUGUAAACUCUCUCUUUCCCUUUUGUAACAUUUCGGUCUCACCGAAAAGAGCAAAUCGGUCCCACCGAGUUUACCUGACCAACUCUCUGGUUAGCUAAUUACCAAAAUCGGUCUUACCGAGUUUGUGUAAUCGGUCUCACCGAGAUUACGUUAUGCCCUAACCGUAAUCAUAUCGGUCCUACCGAGUUGCAUUUCGGUCCUAUCGAAAAUCCUAACGGCCACUAGGUUUACUAAAUCGGUUUGACCGAGUUUCACUACAGGAAACAGGUAAUUUGCCGUCUGUGGAUCACAGACGGCAAAGACGUAAAUCCAGACGGCAAAGAGUUUGCUGUCAGGAAGUAGACGGCAAAGUCAGACGGCAAAGAUUAAUCGGCAAAAAACACUUUGCCGUCUGCUAUUUUUUCUAGAUGACGGCAAAGACUUUGCCGUCAGCCUAUACUGUUUGCCGUCAGCCAGCAAAAUCAAACGGCAAAAAAUGGCAACAGACGGAUGAACGGACGGACAGACGGCAAAAGAUUACUUGGGUCAUUAAAGGUACGAUUUAGGGCCUAAAGGCUAUUGUAGAAGUAUGCAUACCUUGCGUCGUCAUUACUCACACGAUCGGUGGAAGAUAGUAAAACAGGACCAUGUACACUCAUGGGCUAUACAUGCGUGUGCGAAACUGCCUUAUUGCUAUUUCUCGUUUUUCAUCUAGAUUUCUUUCAUUUUCUCUCGGAUUUUCACUAUUUUCCAAUACACAUUUUUCGUAUAUAUCUAAUACCCUUUUUAUGCAUGUUUAUCAUUUGUUAAAUACAAGUUUAACAUUUUAAAUACAUGAUCACAUUUUUUCUAUUCACAUUUUUAAUGCUUAAUUAACACUUCUCAAUCCUAGAUUAACACUUUUAAUACAUGGUCAACAUUUUUCUAUAAUUUUUUAAUAUUCUUGAAAUGCUUGAUUAACGUUUUCAAAUAUAAGAUUAACAUAUUUUUAUAUACAAGAUUAAAAAAAUUGAAUAGAGGUCACCAUUUUUAUACAAAUUGUUAACAUGUUUUUUUAAAUGCUUGAUUAACAUUUUUUUUCCAAAUACAAGAUUAAUUUUUUUUUGUAUAGGGUCAUCAUUUUUCCUAUAUACGUUUAACAUUUCUCACAUGCUUGAUCAACAAUGUUCACAUACUUUUUCAAUAAUUUUUCAGUUGCUUGAUGAACAUUUUUUCAAUUGAUUAACAUCUUGUAGUACAUGGUCANNNNNNNNNNNNNNNNNNNNNNNNNNNNNNNNNNNNNNNNNNNNNNNNNNNNNNNNNNNNNNNNNNNNNNNNNNNNNNNNNNNNNNNNNNNNNNNNNNNNNNNNNNNNNNNNNNNNNNNNNNNNNNNNNNNNNNNNNNNNNNNNNNNNNNNNNNNNNNNNNNNNNNNNNNNNNNNNNNNNNNNNNNNNNNNNNNNNNNNNNNNNNNNNNNNNNNNNNNNNNNNNNNNNNNNNNNNNNNNNNNNNNNNNNNNNNNNNNNNNNNNNNNNNNNNNNNNNNNNNNNNNNNNNNNNNNNNNNNNNNNNNNNNNNNNNNNNNNNNNNNNNNNNNNNNNNNNNNNNNNNNNNNNNNNNNNNNNNNNNNNNNNNNNNNNNNNNNNNNNNNNNNNNNNNNNNNNNNNNNNNNNNNNNNNNNNNNNNNNNNNNNNNNNNNNNNNNNNNNNNNNNNNNNNNNACCGAAGAAAGCCUAAAAUCACUAAUUGAGGAGCACUCCUUCCAAACAUUAUUUUCACCCUCCCCGGGUUGCCACAAGGGGCACGCUGCAUGUGCGUCACUUGUUGCAACCUGGUAGUUUUUCUCUUUUUUCGUAGAUUCGUUAAUUCAAAACGUUUUAUCUCUUAAACCAUGUGGCCAAAUCUCGAACCAUUUUCACCAUGGAUUUCUCGCAUCGAGAUCUUCCAAUUUAGAUCCAAUGUUGAUAGGUUUUGAUGAACUUUUUUUCACAAAAAAAGGACAACAAAAUCGGGCCAGGAGCAUUUUUUUCCUUUCCGAAACCCGUUUCCGAGAGGCACGGCCGUGCCUCUCACGGAAGCAAAACCGUGCCUCACACGGAAGGAAAAAAUACAUUUUUUUUCGUUUCUGAGAGCACGGUCUUGCCUCUCGCGGAAGCAAAACCGUGCCUCUCACGGAAGGAAAAAAGACGCAUUCGCUUUUUCGUUUCCGAUAGGCACGGCCGUGCCUCUCACGGAAACAAAACCAUGCCUCUCGCGGAAGCAAAAAAAGGAUUUUCUCGCGCGAUUUUUUUUCAUAAUUGUUUUGUCCAAAAGCUAAGAAAGACAGAUAGAAAACCAAAAUGCCAAAAAAGACAAGAAAAAAACCAUCUGAAAAUACGAAAACACGUGCAAAAAAAUUUAAAAAAAAUCGAAGGGAGCGCCAAGUGAUGCGCUCUCAGCCCACCCCAAGUGACCCUUGGGGAGGCUUCGAAGGAGCGCUCCUCAAUUAGUUGCUCUCAAGAAAUCCUCACCUAGAGUGUUUUGCUUAGCGGGCUGGCCAAACAGUACCUCUUUCCUUAGAACCCUUCUACGGACCGGUUAUAGGAACAUUCUACUCGGUUUCGAAAGGUUCUUCACUUUUUUCUGUUUUUUCUAUCAGAAUUAUUUUUAUUUUUUAUGUUCAGUUUUUCGCAUUGUCAUUUAAAAACAUAUUGUCUUUUUUAAUUUACCCUUUUCGUAAAUACAUGCUGUAAUUAUAAAAAAAAUGUACAUAAGGUUUUUAAUACAUGUGAAUCAUUUAUCAGAUACACGUCGAGCAUUUGAAGUUCAGGUUCAAUAGAUUUAUGAACAUGGGUUAACAUAUUUAUAGUGAACACUGAACAUUUUUUUAUAUACUGGUUUAUCAUUUUUUAGACACUCAUGGAACAUUUUAGAAAAUGUCAUGAACAUAUAUUUAAACGUGAAAACAUUCUUUACAUGUCAUGAAUAUUUAUUUGAAUGGUACGAAACAUUUUUUAAAAAUUACUUGUACAAUAUUUCACAACUCAUAAUUUUCCUUGCAAAAAUGUCAUGAACCUAUAUUUUUUUUAAACAUGAAUACUUUUCAAAUGAGAUAAAUAUUUUUUACUUUCAACAGCAUAUUUCUAAACAUAUGUACAAUUUUAAAUUGUCAUAAAUAGUUUUUGAAUCAUAGGGAGUUUUUUAAACUGCAUGAACAAACUGUUACAUUGCACGAAUAUUUUUAUUGUGCGGUGAACAUUUUGAAAAACCAAUUAAAUUAGUUUUCGAAAAUUAUAAGCAUAUUUGAUUAAAAAUUUUGAAAUAAAAAAUAAGUAAAAAAUAAAAAAUAAAAAUAAAUGAGCCGAGCGCAGAAGAGGAAGAAUGGAGAAGCAACUAGGGCAGAAUAGUACAACAUUCCUUUACGCGAGACGUCAUUCUGUCUCGCUAUAAGUGAGACAUAGAUGUACCUGCUAAUGUUGACUUGGUGGCGUGGGCCAUGGGAAAUUAUAUGUAUCUCUUAUAGCAGUACAUAUAUGCAGAAAUCGCCGACUAGCCCCAGGCCAUCAGUGGAGGUUGUAGUUAUGGAGGAGGUUUCCUCCAGAUUUAGGAAGCUUCUAGAAACUUCUGCUUGGUUUUGCCAAGAUUCCAAAAGGUUCUUGGUUUUUCACCGAUUUUUCUUUCUGUUUUAUGUUUCCCAUUGUAUGCUUUAUGUUUUUUUCCUUUUCGAGUUCAUACACUUUUUCAAACUCGUUAACUUUAUUAUAUUUUUUUUCAAAUUCAUAAAAAAAUUCUGAUAAAUUAAAUGUUUUUAAAAUUUGAAAAAAAAUCAAACUCAGGAAUAUCUUUCAGUUUCAUGAACAUUGUUUUGAUUUUACAAACAUUGUUUUGAUUUUACAAACAUUUUUUGAAUUCUUCAAUACAUUUUCAUAUUCAAUAACAUUAAUUCAAUUUCACAAUAUUUUUCAAAUUUCACAAGCUUUCUUAAUUUUUUGAAUAUUUAAUUAUUUUUUGAAUUCAUAGACAACUUUGAAUCCAUGGAUACAAUUUAGAAUUCAUCAUCAUUUUUAAAAUUAAAUGGAACCUUUCAGAAUUGAAUGUUGAAUGAAACAUCAGUUGAAAAAAGGAACUAAAUACGGCCGUUAGUUAAAGAAAGAAGAAAAAAUGUUUUUUUUCUCCGUGGCAAUAAAAAUAGGAACUAAAAUGAAGUGGAAAUGUGCGUUGGGCCAGGCCCAUGUAGCAAACAAAUGAGGAGGACAAAUGUUAGCUCACAGUGGCAAUUGCCACAAGACAAGUGUAUCAACUGUAAAUCUUGACAAAAACGACUCAACAACUCUGGACACAUGCCACAAGAUAAGUGCAUCAACUAUGAAUCAUGACAAAAGCAACUCAACAACUCUGUCUCCAAUGGAUCAUGCUAGUCAUUCACUAGGAGACAAAUGGAGAAGCAUAAAGAAGGAUGUGGACAAUAGGAGGAGAAGACAGAUCCGGCAUAACCAUGGAUGUACUUAGGUAUAUGGACAAGUGAAAACGACACGACCACCAACAGAAAACAGUAGGAACCAACCAAUGCCAGCCAAUAGCCACACAAACUUACAACGAACAUGCAUUCCAACUCACGGAAGCCUAUCUAACUACCUACCUUGUUAAUAGCAUUAUAUAUCCCAUCUUCAUUCACGUUGCUCGCUAGGAAACAUUUGCGCUCUUUGCCGCCCGUCGAUGGGGAUGACCGUGCAUUUGCAAGGUGAGGGAUUCUUUCUUACUUGUCCCCUCCCAAAUCAAACACAAUCGAGAGAUUCUCAGUUCAACUGGAUGUUUGAGUUAAAUAUAGUUGUUGCAUUCCAAUCCAAACCGCAUUUCGUGCAUUACUAAUUGGUUUGAUGUUAAUAUUUUCUUCGUUGAUUUUUGGUUUUGGGAUAUCUAAAUGGAAUUGCUGCCUUGUGUUUGAUGUCAAUAUUUGGCAUGCUAAUUAUUAGCAAAUCUAAAAAGUUUCCUACCAAUUGGUUGUCUAUCAAGUGGUUCUUGCCAAUUUCUAGAAAGAUUGUCAAUUGUUGGCAAAUUUUUAAUUUUGCCAAAUAUCGCAUCAAACCAAUUAGUACAUCCAUCGAUUGAGUAGUUCAUUCGUAUUAAUAUCCAUCUAUCCAUCUAUCUUUUCCUGUGAAUGCCCAAGUGUUAAUUUGACUAACUUUGCUUUAUAAAUGUUCCUUAAUUGUCUGCUGCUUGGUUGGAUGCUGCUGUUGUCAACUUACUCUUGAUGUGUGUCUUGACAGUGUAAGUCCAUGAAUCAUUCCAUUAUUUGUUAGGUUCAUUAAUUAUUCAUUUUGUUUCUUAUGAUUAAUUAGUGUUAUGCAAUUACAGCUGGCUUGCUGGCCUUGCGUGUAUGUUCUCCACCAGCAUUGUUUUCCAAAUCCUGGUAAGCCAUGUCCACUCAAUUGCCUCUAAAUCUCCUUUUUCCUUCUACAAAUUGAAUCAGGUCUCUGAUAUUAAUCUUAGAGAAAGUACAAUGUAAAUCUAUUAACUAGUUUCUACAAAGUAUCACCCCUAAAACAUAUCCUGUAUAUUCCACUCAACUGAGUAUAUUUCAAUGAUAUCCUAUAACUAUGUUCGCUUUGAAACCGUUAUAAUAAAAACAACUAGUUUUCGUACUGCUAGUUUUAAUGUAUUUGAAAUAGCAAAGGAAAUUGUCGUCAUAGCCGAUAUUAUCAUAAGACUUUGUGAAUAUGAUAGGAUAACACUGGUAUGAGUUUCGAAAUAUUUGGUCAUCUCAGAAUGAUUUUUCCUUCUUCCUAUAAGUAGGACCUAACUUGACCUUUCAUGCUGGCCCCGAAUGUCUUAGGUACGACCUUGUAGGAAUGGAGAGGGAGUCUUCUUCUGCCCACAAUUUCCAAAGGUCCCCUCCAUUGUCAGCAAGAGGUACAGGACUGACUACCACUUCCAACCCCCGAAGAACUGGAUCAAUGGUACGUUUACCUCUGAUUCCUUUUUAAGUUUCCUCUAUACUUUCUGUUGAAUUUUGUCUGUGACCAAUCAGAUAUAUUUGGUGUGCUUUUCUUGUUCUGUUGGUCCAAGUUAAAUUGGUCAAUGUUUCGACUAAUUGGAAUAUUCAAUAAUAUACUUGUUAAAUCUAGUAGCCGAUCUUAAUUUGGUGUGCCAAUAUUCAAUAAUAUACUUGUUAAACCAAAUUAUAUUUAGAAAUGUAAUAUGAGAUUAAACAUGGAUGUGUUUGCAUUCAAUAAUGUACUUGUUAAAUCUAGUAGCCGAUCAUAAUUUGGUGUGCCAAUAUUCCAUAAACUUUUGUACCAUUUUACCAAUAACCAAAUGAUAUUAAUUGUACAUUUGUUGCACAUUGACAUUCUCUCACUUUUUCAUAUAUUUGAUGUAUUGGCAAUGCGCGGAAAUCUACGACAACAAAAAGAUAUCUCCGGCAUAAAUAAAAAGAAGAAGAACUGCAACAUUCUAUAUCUUAUAUUGUCUUUAUAAAAAAUUCAGGGUCAAUGUACUACAAUGGAGUUUACCAUGAAUUCUACCAGUAUAACCCCAAUGGCUCUUAUAAUCCCAAUAUCUCCUAUAACAUUGUUUGGGGCCAUUCGGUUUCAACGGACCUCAUCAACUGGAUCAAUCUUGAGCCCGCAAUAGAACCGGAUACCCCAAGUGACAUAAGUGGUUGCUGGACUGGCUCAGCCACAAUUCUAUCUGGUGAUCAACCGGUCAUCAUAUACACUGGUCUCGUCGACAUACAGAAGCAUCAGGUCCAAAACAUUGCGCUUCCAAAAAACCGGUCUGAUCCAUACCUGAGGGAAUGGACCAAAGCACACAAUAACCCAGUUAUCCAACCGGUCGUACCAGGCUUGAACUCGAGCCAGUUCAGGGAUCCGACAACCGGUUGGAUCGGACCAGAUGGACUAUGGAGAAUAGCAGUUGGUGCUGAGUUGAACAGCUAUAGUGCUGCACUUUUGUACAAGAGUGAAGACUUCUUGAAUUGGACUAGAGUUGAACACCCACUAUAUUCAUCCAAUUCAUCCAAUAUGUGGGAGUGUCUGGAUUUUUUUGCAGUAUUGCCGGGAAGUGGGGGUGGAUUGGACUUGUCUUCAGCAAUCCCAAAUGGCGCCAAGCAUGUCCUCAAAGUUAGCAUGAAUUGCACUGAUGACGUGUACAUGAUUGGGGUUUAUGAUCUCAAACGUGAUGCUUUUGUGCCCGAUACUGUCCUAAAUGACAGUCGGCUCUGGCCGAGGAUUGAUUAUGGGAAUUUCUAUGCUUCAAAAUCCUUCUUUGACUCAAAACAUGGCCGAAGGAUCAUAUGGGCUUGGAGUAGCGAGACAGAUAGUUCUUCAGAUGAUGUUGCAAAAGGCUGGGCAGGAAUCCAUGUAAGAAAAUUUACCCUUAAUUGGCUGUAAUUGCAUCAAACCAAAAAACUGAUUUAACUGAUGUAACAAAUCAGUGUAACAUAUUUAAUCUCAUUUUUUUAUUAUUACAUUUAGUCAAUCCCAAGGACAAUUUGGUUAGACAGCCAUGGCAAGCAGUUGCUGCAAUGGCCAGUUGAAGAGAUUGAGUCCCUUCGAACAAAUGAAAUCAACCAUCAAGCAUUAGAGCUGAAGAAGGGAGAUCUAUUUGAGAUCAAGGGAAUUGAGAAUUUGCAGGUAAUUUCCUUUUCACAAACGUGCUUACCUGGUCUUCCAAAGAAUUUUUCUUACCUCAAAAAGCUAACCAGGCACAUCAUUUUCUUGAAACAGGCUGACGUCGAGAUAGAUUUUGAGCUGACGUCCAUCGAUGACGCCGACCCUUUUGAUCCUUCCUGGCUUUUUGACGCUGAGAAGCACUGCCGGGAAGCGGGUGCGUCAGUUCAUGGUGGCAUAGGGCCAUUCGGACUUGUUAUUCUGGCCUCCGACAACAUGGAGGAGCACACUGAUGUGCACUUCCGAAUUUACAAAUCACAACAAAAUUACAUGGUCCUCAUGUGCUCUGAUCUAAGAAGGUUAGUGCUUAUAUUUUUUUUCCCUAGUCUUUUCCAUAAAUGUCCAUAUCUAUUGAUGUCUGGAAAUUAAAAGGAAAUAUUUUCAUUUGUUUUUGUAGGUCUUCCCUGAGACCAGGACUGUACACACCAGCCUAUGGGGGCUUCUUUGAAUUUGACUUUGAAAAGGAAAGAAAGAUAUCUCUCAGAACUCUGGUGAGUUGGGAGGCUUUGUCAUUUAUCUUAUUAUUCACUUCAUGACAGAACUGAAAAUCAACAACGCCAUGCAGAUUGAUCGGUCUGCAGUGGAGAGCUUUGGCGGCGGUGGCAGGGUCUGCAUCAUGGCUAGAGUUUAUCCAGUGGCGCUUGCCGAUGACAUCAGCUGUGCCCACAUGUAUGCCUUCAACAAUGGAAGUGCCACGGUCAUAGUGCCGCAGCUUAGGGCAUGGAGCAUGAGAAGAGCACAAGCGAGUUUUUAAUGCAGAAGAGCAAUUCUAAUUGACAUGUGAUUGGAGGACCAUCUUAAUCUAAUCACUUGUUGAUUUCAAUAUUUAGCAUGGGUAGCUGAAGUAGAGACAAUUGGUAAGUAAGCAUAGUAUGUGCUUAUUGUCAGCAUUGGCAUCAAUGCCCAUGUUUUAUGAUUUAAAUUUGCAGAGGUUCGGAGUGAAUAAUAUGAGCUUGUGCAUGCCAGAAUUCCUGAUGAAAAUGUGUUUGUGCUUGCGAGAUUGUAAGAUACAGUACUGCUCUUCACUGUGGUCCCUGAAUGAUAUGGUUUAAGGACAUUUGUUGCUUCAGUUUUGUAGUAGUUCGGCUACCACCAGAAUAUUCAAAAACACAGAAUGAAGAUGUCAAGGUUAGAACCCCGUCAAACAAAAAACUGAAAAGUGAAAACACAGAAAUGGGUUUCCAUGAAGUCGACAAAAUAGCAGCCGAUACAAUCAGAAUAGGUCCACUUACCAACGAUUGACAUGCAACAUCUAAUUUUUGUUCAAGUUCCAUGAAAUGCUUGCUGUUCCUGUAAUCCAUUAAAAAUGCUUGCUUUUCCAUGAAGUUUAUGUUAUUUAUAUGUUUUCUGAAAAAUAUUUAUACAAUAUAAAAAGGUUUGCGUCAUUGAAAAAUUGUUUUUUACCAUACAAAAAACGUAGCUGACAUUUAAAAAAAUAUUCACGUGUUUCCAAAAUAUGCUCAAGCAUUUCAAAAAUAUGCUGGUCACAUUUUAAAAAAUGUUUAUGCAAUAUACUUUUUUUUCAUAUUUUUAACAAUAUGCUUCAUGCCAUUAAAAAAAUUUAAUAUGUAUUUGAAAUUCGUUUAAUAUGUAUCCAAAAAAUAUUCAAAACAUGUACUUAAAAAAAAUUAGAUCAUGUAUUUGAAAAAUAUUCAAUGUGUAUAAAAAAACUUUCCACGUGUAAACAAAAAAUGUACAACAUGUAUUUAAAAAUGUAAAAUUUUGUAGGAAAAAUAUAAAUAAAGCACUGGAAUCUGGAAAAAUUAAAAGAAUGCGUGGAAACUUCUAAAACCGGGAAUAGAAGAUUUCCAAAACCAGCAACAUUGAGCCAGCCCAUUCAGUGAUCGCCUACCAUCUCGUAGUAACCGAGAUAUAGCUGCGCUUGAAAAUCCUCCUGUAUGUCCCAGCCCAAUGGUAGAAGACAGAGUGAGCUAGAAAGCUAAAUGGGCCCACCUAUGGACUUCAACUUAUACAAGAAACCAUUUUGGGAAUCCGGCUUUUUCUAUUGUUUUUCUAUCGGUUUUACCAGCUUUUUGCCUUCUUAUUUUCUUUCAUAUUUCCUAUUUAUUUUAGUUUAGAAAUAAUAAUUUUGUAAAUUGAGCUUAUUUGUUUUAAAAAAACAUUAUCAUAAUUAUUUAUAAAAUGUUCUGCAUUUUAAAAUAGAAAUUUCAAGUAUUAUAAAUUUCCACUUUUGAAGUAUUUUUUCGUGGUUUUUGGAAAAUCGAAUGAAAAGACCACUGAAAAAGAAAAACGAAGCCACUAGAAAGUUGUACAGAUNNNNNNNNNNNNNNNNNNNNNNNNNNNNNNNNNNNNNNNNNNNNNNNNNNNNNNNNNNNNNNNNNNNNNNNNNNNNNNNNNNNNNNNNNNNNNNNNNNNNNNNNNNNNNNNNNNNNNNNNNNNNNNNNNNNNNNNNNNNNNNNNNNNNNNNNNNNNNNNNNNNNNNNNNNNNNNNNNNNNNNNNNNNNNNNNNNNNNNNNNNNNNNNNNNNNNNNNNNNNNNNNNNNNNNNNNNNNNNNNNNNNNNNNNNNNNNNNNNNNNNNNNNNNNNNNNNNNNNNNNNNNNNNNNNNNNNNNNAAAAAAAUUCAGUUCAAAGAGGAGAAAUGUACUUGGUCUACUUCCCACGCCAUCCAUCAGUCACGGUCUGAACGGUAUUACUCGCUCAGAACAAGCCUCUCAACCAGCGGCCGGCUGAAACUCUGAUUUUGUCUCCAGAAAAAGCGGCGAUCGCGUCGCCGUAUGUUGUCGAACGAGAAGAGCUGUAAUCCUAUACAAAUCGAAGGAAACCGAGAUGAAAUAAGGAUCCCAAAACUGAAAUGCCAACCGAAACUCAUUAUCAAGUCUGAGAAUUCUAUGCCAUGAUCAGCUCAAAGAGAACAAAUGUAUCAAGUACAGUACAGUACAGGUAGCAAAGAAAGAUUUGCACACAACACGCAGCAGCAGCAGCAGCAGCAGUCGAGUGUUUCAGUUCCCGACUAACGCCCAGAAAUCAGAUGAACGAAACCAAGCUACGCCACUAGUCACAAGGGUGACCAACCAGGGACAUACACUGUCUGGGACGCCUCCGGUUUCUUCGACGAGUUUCGUCUGUCGAGUAUUACAACUUACUACACCUUCUGAGUUUGGGUCUUGUGCUACAAUAAACGGCGCAGGGUUUAACGGCCUUCUGUGAGCUGCGCUGCUGUAUCGAACAAGUGUUGUUUCAGGAGGUGGUCAAGGACUGCUACUCCCUCCUCUGCCAGGUGCUCUUCUUGGUACUCCCUCCGUCCGGAAAUACUUGUCACCGAAAUGGGUGUAUCUAGACAUAUUUUAGUUCUAAAUACAUCCUUUUUUAUUCAUUUAUGCGACAAGUAUUUCUGGACGGAGGGAGUACAAGAUAGCUUCCCUUGGAAUCAGCAGCGCACGGAUCAAGCUUUCAAACAGAUAUAUAGCUAGAUUUCCUACAACAACCGAAGGAUUAAUGACACAUACCUGAGAAGUGAGAACCAGCCACCAGGUCAAAAGUCUUCGGUGGAAAGGCCUGAUUCCUCAAGACCACGACUCACCCGGACAUCGAGUCCUUUGCUCCAUCUGCACUCUAUCUACAUGCCUACAGCCAACACAAGUUCAGAAGCUCCAUUAGGAAUGAAGUUGCACAAAACAAUACUCCCUCCAUCCAAAUUACUCAUCGCUGAAAUGGAUGUAUCUAGAACUAAAAUACAUCUAGAUACAUCCAUACGUGCGACAAGUAAUUCGGAACGGAGGGAGUAUAACUGUAGUGGUUGGUUAGGCCUACAAACCACCAUUUCCUGCACCCAGAUCAUACCAGGUCUCCAUUUGAAAAAAAAAAAGGCCGCCACUUGGUCUGUACUUAUUUGACAGUCACUAAUCCACAAAUAGUCACAUUAUAUUACACCAGGAUCGAUCGAUGCAAUCAGUCAGUAACAAAAAUUACAGGUAUUUCAAGUAAAUUCAGACUUACAGACAUAUCGCACGCCACAGACGAACCAAUCACAACGUCCAUGCAUCAAACACAAACAGCGGCACAUGCCGCUAAUUACGACAAGCAGAAAUUAAACACACUCACACUGACAGAAAGAGGAAUCAGCGGAAACGAAACUAUCCACGCGGUGUUGGUUACGCGACGCCUCCCCAGCUUGAUGCUCCUGGUCCCUUUCAAGGAUGCCCGCAUG